This 462-nucleotide long non-coding RNA is filed under the name Bos taurus (domestic cattle). RNAcentral's name for it is "long non-coding RNA NONBTAT006058". The record is from RNAcentral. Lineage: Eukaryota; Metazoa; Chordata; Mammalia; Artiodactyla; Bovidae.
CAGAAGCGGAAGACAUUUUCUCUGACAGAAUUAUGAAAUUUUACAAUGACCUUGAAAAAUGUAUAUUAACUUAAAUGUCAUUAAGAUUUUGGUGGAUGAGAAAAGGCUCAUGUAACUUGCUAAUGCUGGAAAAAAAGACCUACUUAACUUUCUAAUAUUUUCCCUGAUUCAGAAGGUGUAAGAAACAUUAGUAAGUAGUUCCUUGGUGUUGAAGUGUUUAGUUUCCCGUUCAUAUUCUUAUACGUGAGAAUACAGCAAGUCAGAUGACACUAUUUAAUAGUGUUCAAUUCUAUAUGCAAACAAAGGUAGUCAGUAUGGAAUCACAAGAGAUGACACAUUAAUUCUCAGAAUAAUAAGUGUAGGAAAGUGGGAAGGAGAAAUGAUGAGGACAGAUGUGGCACAAGGCCUUGAAUACUGGGAGGAACUUCACUGAGAAGCAAAGGCAAGUGGUAGGCAGAUGGG